CGGGACUACAGGGGUUUCUAAUCCUGUUUGCUCCCCACGCUUUCGCGCCUCAGCGUCAGAACCGGACCAGUAAGCCGCCUUCGCCACUGGUGUUCUUGCGAAUAUCUACGAAUUUCACCUCUACACUCGCAGUUCCACUUACCUCUUCCGGUCUCAAGCCCGACAGUAUCGAAGGCAAUUCUGUGGUUGAGCCACAGGCUUUCACCCCCGACUUAUCAGGCCGCCUACGCGCCCUUUACGCCCAGUGAUUCCGAACAACGCUAGCCCCCUUCGUAUUACCGCGGCUGCUGGCACCC
This 296-nucleotide unclassified non-coding RNA is filed under the name uncultured Alphaproteobacteria bacterium. Its description in RNAcentral is "contains 16S-23S intergenic spacer region". Lineage: Bacteria; Pseudomonadati; Pseudomonadota; Alphaproteobacteria. The record is from RNAcentral.